GACGUAGGGGGCCAGCGUUGUUCGGAAUUACUGGGUGUAAAGGGUUCGUAGGCGGUGUGGCAAGUCGGGAGUGAAAUCUCUGGGCUCAACCCAGAGUCUGCUUCCGAAACUGCUGUGCUUGAGUGUGGGAGAGGCGCGUGGAAUUGCAGGUGUAGCGGUGAAAUGCGUAGACAUCUGCAGGAACACCCGUGGCGAAAGCGGCGCGCUGGACCACUACUGACGCUGAGGAACGAAAGCUAGGGGAGCAAACAGG
Molecule: ribosomal RNA, 253 nt
Filed under: uncultured bacterium
Lineage: Bacteria
Description: partial 16S ribosomal RNA
Rfam family: Bacterial small subunit ribosomal RNA
Source: RNAcentral